CCUCCUACGGGGGGCUGCAGUGGGGAAUAUUGCACAAUGGGCGAAAGCCUGAUGCAGCAACGCCGCGUGAGGGACGACGGCCUUCGGGUUGUAAACCUCUUUUAGCAGGGAAGAAGCGAAAGUGACGGUACCUGCAGAAAAAGCACCGGCUAACUACGUGCCAGCAGCCGCGGUAAUACGUAGGGUGCAAGCGUUGUCCGGAAUUAUUGGGCGUAAAGAGCUCGUAGGCGGUUUGUCGCGUCUGCUGUGAAAACGCGAGGCUCAACCUCGCGCCUGCAGUGGGUACGGGCAAACUAGAGUGCGGUAGGGGAGAUUGGAAUUCCUGGUGUAGCGGUGGAAUGCGCAGAUAUCAGGAGGAACACCGAUGGCGAAGGCAGAUCUCUGGGCUGUAACUGACGCUGAGGAGCGAAAGCAUGGGGAGCGAACAGGAUUAGAUACCCUGGUAGUC
RNAcentral lists this ribosomal RNA (448 nucleotides) under uncultured Microbacteriaceae bacterium. RNAcentral describes it as "bacterial SSU rRNA". It matches the Rfam family "Bacterial small subunit ribosomal RNA", at positions 335 to 795 of the family's 1533-position model. The record is from RNAcentral. Lineage: Bacteria; Bacillati; Actinomycetota; Actinomycetes; Micrococcales; Microbacteriaceae.